Molecule: ribosomal RNA, 519 nt
Filed under: uncultured bacterium
Lineage: Bacteria
Description: bacterial SSU rRNA
Rfam family: Bacterial small subunit ribosomal RNA
Source: RNAcentral
GGCUAACGCUGGCGGCGUGUCUUAGCCAUGCAAGUCGAGCGGACUUAUGGGGUAACUUAUAAGUCAGCGGCGGACGGCGGAGUAACACGUAGCUAACCUACCCUCUGGACGGGGAUAACCUACCGAAAGGUGGGCUAAUACCCGAUGUAGUCAUCCUGUAUAGGGGUGAUGAAAGGUGGGCUUCUGUUUACAAGCUCAUGCUGGAGGAGGGGGCUGCGGCCUAUCAGGUAGUUGGUAGGGUAAUAGCCUACCAAGCCGAUGACGGGUAGCCGGCCUGAGAGGGUGACCGGCCCGAGGGGCACUGAGAUACGGGUCCCACUCCUACGGGAGGCAGCAGGCUAGAAAUUUGGGCAAUGGGGGAAACCCUGACCCAGUGACGCCGCGUGGAGGAAGAAGUCCUUCGGGAUGUAAACUUCUGAACUAGCCGAAUAAAAGGACCUGUGGACACACAGGAGAAGAAAGUAGGCUAGGAAAGUACCGGCUAACUACGUGCCAGCAGCCGCGGUAAGACUACGUAGA